CAUCGCGUAUGAUUAUUUAAACUAAAUUGAAAUAUGAUAAUUUAGCAACAUAUAAUAUAAAAACGAUCCUACGCUCUACACUCAAAGCUCAUGCAUAACAUGUUCAACAUUGAAUAGAAUAUAUUAUUUUGUUGUUCCUUCGCCCACAAUUAUAUAUUUCACAAAAAAAACUAUCAAAUAGGAAUUGAGCCAUCCAAAAAUAAACAAAAUAUUUAUAAAUGAAUAGGUCCUAUGCACAGUUUCUGCAAGAAAGAUAUGACCCCAGAGUGAAGGGGAACCUCACUAGUAAUUUUGAACUACAUGCUCUUUACAAACACAGGCAUGCAAGGAUGAAAAAUAGUCAUUAUUAAAAUUAUAAUGUAGGCAUAAGGCAAAUUAACUAUCCCAAUAUUGACUUAAAAGUUCAUUAUUUACGUAUCAAAAUAUGUAAUAUGUAACAUUCAAAUGUACUGCAUUCUCUUAACCAAGAUCCAAACCCAACUGAUGAAAGAAAAUGUAACUAAAAGUUUCUCACAGUAACAAGCAUACACUUUUACUUGAGGCAAAAAAGUUUUAUUGAAUUUUGUAAACAACACAAACUAUUUCAAGAAAGUUUUGUUUCAGAACUGAAUCUUGCAACACAAACAGUUUCAUAAAAAAAAAAACUUUGAUUAUGAAUAUCCUCAAAUAGUUUUUGACCAAAGCAGGACACAUUUUUUUGGUAAAUUAGGCUUUAACAGUAGGAGAAGGGGAACACAAGAAAGUUUAAGACAAAAUUAAAUUUAACACACAAAAAAUCCACGGAUAAAGAACACAACAACGAAUGAAUAAGAAUCUAAGGGAACCACAUAUUUAUUAGUCAGCUUUUGGAAUUAAUGAUAUCGAUACGAACUCACUUCCUAUAAUCAACAACAAAGACAUAACUUAUUUAUCUGACAUCCACAACGGCAAAACUUAAGAGGAGAAGUAAACCGCAUAUUCAUAGGCCGCAUUUAUCGAAAUAAGUCCAUUCGUUUUUUAGAAUCAAUAAACAGCCACCAAUCUAACAAUCCAACGUUCUAAGAAAAUAAUAAAAAUGAGGCGAAAGAAAUGACGAUGGGAACAGCUCGUACCUUUAUCGGGGCAGCAAGACUGAGGCGAUAACGUCAAGGAUUCCAGGCAAGAACAAACUCAAACACAGGACUUCAAGAACUCGAAAAUUUCC
RNAcentral lists this long non-coding RNA (1183 nucleotides) under Capsicum annuum. Its description in RNAcentral is "long non-coding RNA (CANN_LNC005459)". The record is from RNAcentral. Lineage: Eukaryota; Viridiplantae; Streptophyta; Magnoliopsida; Solanales; Solanaceae.